CCCAUAAUAGUGGGUGGGGAUUUUAGCUCGCAAAUUGAUAACCUCAAUCAAGUAUAGAAGAAUUAGUAACAAAAAAAAUAAAUGUAACACACAGCAGGAAAAUAUAAGAUAUUGCACUAAAUUGUACAGGAAAAUGCUAUGACAAACAAUAGAAUAAAUUGGCUUGAUAAUACUACAUAGAUAUAAUCACGGUUCAAGAAAAAGCAGACACGUGCAUAACGGACGAAGUGUCGAAGAGAAAUGAUGCACUGCGUCACAGAUCGUCGCACUCGCUCACACAAGGACGUGUCUGAUUGGUCGAAAUAAGAGGACGCCAACAUGGCGCGACCAAUCACAGCCAUUGGUAGAAGUUUCGUAUUACUUCGAAAGUUUAAUACUAAUCAUAAGGGAAAGACACGUGCAUAACGGACGAGGUUUCGAAGAGAAAUGAUUGUACUGCGUCACAAAUCGGCGCACUCGCUCAACGACGUGUCUGAUUGGUCGAAAUGAGGGGACGCCAACAUGGCGUGACCAAUCACAGCCAUUGGUAGAAGUUUCGAAACUGUAAUGCUAAUCGUAAUGGAAACGUUCAUACAAUAAAUAUCAACGAAAAAA
Molecule: long non-coding RNA, 594 nt
Organism: Osmia lignaria (orchard mason bee)
Lineage: Eukaryota; Metazoa; Arthropoda; Insecta; Hymenoptera; Megachilidae
Source: RefSeq, a predicted model, not a curated record